UGUGCCUCCUACUUACUGUAAGCACUAUUAGCAAUGAUAUCUACUAGCUUAUUUAUUUUCCUAUAUACAUGCUGAACUUUGAAGUUGUUUUGCUUCUUCCAUUAUAUCUAGUAUUUUCCAUGGUAUUUUUCGUUCCCUAAGUAUCACUUUCAUGAUUCCUAGUGAUUUGUUUCUAGUAUAACCUUCUUGAGCUUAUUUUUUUAUACAGUAAAUUAGCCCUUUUAGUCCUG
This 230-nucleotide unclassified non-coding RNA is filed under the name Hevea brasiliensis (rubber tree). Lineage: Eukaryota; Viridiplantae; Streptophyta; Magnoliopsida; Malpighiales; Euphorbiaceae. The record is from RNAcentral.